GCAUAUCAAUAAGCGGAGGAAAAGAACUCAACAGGGAUUGCCUCAGUAACGGCGAGUGAAGCGGCAACAGCUCAAAUUUGAAAUCUGGCCUCGGCCCGAGUUGUAAUUUGCAGAGGAUGCUUUUGGCGAGGCGCCUUCCGAGUUCCCUGGAACGGGACGCCAGAGAGGGUGAGAGCCCCGUAUGGUUGGACGCCGAGCCUCUGUAAAGCUCCUUCGACGAGUCGAGUAGUUUGGGAAUGCUGCUCAAAAUAGGAGGUAAAUUUCUUCUAAAGCUAAAUACAGGCCAAAGACCGAUAGCGCACAAGUAGAGUGAUCGAAAGAUGAAAAGCACUUUGAAAAGAGGGUUAAACAGUACGUGAAAUUGUUGAAAGGGAAGCGCUCAUGACCAGACUUGUGCCCUGUGGAUAAGCCAGCGUUCUCGCUGGUGUUUCCGCUCGGCUCAGGCCAGCAUCGGUUCUCUUGGGGGGACAAAAGCCCUGGGAACGUGGCUCCUCCGGGAGUGUUAUAGCCCACCGCACAAUAUCCCCAGGGGGACCGAGGACCGCGCUUCGGCAAGGAUGCUGGCGUAAUGGUCAUCAGCGACCCGUCUUGAAACACGGACCAAGGAGUCAAGCAUUAGGGCGAGUGUUUGGGUGUAAAACCCGCACGCGUAAUGAAAGUGAAUGCAGGUGAGAGCUUCGGCGCAUCAUCGACCGAUCCUGAUGUACUCGGAUGGAUUUGAGUAAGAGCCUUACCGCUUGGACCCGAAAGUUGAUGAACUAUGCCUGUAUAGGGUGAAGCCAGAGGAAACUCUGGUGGAGGCUCGCAGCGGUUCUGACGUGCAAAUCGAUCGUCAAAUAUAGGCAUGGGGGGCGAAAGACUAAUCGAAAUCAACUAGGUAGCUGGGUUACCCGCCGAAG
Molecule: ribosomal RNA, 899 nt
Filed under: Rhamphoria delicatula
Lineage: Eukaryota; Fungi; Ascomycota; Sordariomycetes; Rhamphoriaceae
Description: LSU rRNA
Rfam family: Eukaryotic large subunit ribosomal RNA
Source: RNAcentral